UACAGAGGUGGCAAGCGUUGUUCGGAAUUACUGGGCGUAAAGCGUACGUAGGCGGCUUUGUAAGUUAGAGGUGAAAGCCUGAUGCUCAACAUCAGAAUUGCCUUUAAGACUGCAUCGCUUGAAUCGUGGAGAGGUAAGUGGAAUUCCGAGUGUAGAGGUGAAAUUCGUAGAUAUUCGGAAGAACACCAGUGGCGAAGGCGGCUUACUGGACACGUAUUGACGCUGAGGUACGAAAGCGUGGGGAGCAAACAGG
Molecule: ribosomal RNA, 253 nt
Filed under: uncultured bacterium
Lineage: Bacteria
Description: partial 16S ribosomal RNA
Rfam family: Bacterial small subunit ribosomal RNA
Source: RNAcentral